UAUUUUUUUACCUUCUACAGCUCCUCUUGGUCAGUAUUAUUGAGACAGUAAAUUUCACAACAUUCACUAGUACUGCUCCAAAUACCUCACUGCACCUAAUUAAAUUUAAGUGUAAUUUUUUUAGCAUCUUGUUUAAAAUAGCAAUGAAGUUAUUAACAUGAACUUUACAGUUCCAGAUCUCAUUUGAACUCCCUGAUGCAUUUUCUUCUAGUUUUAUUUUCAAGUUUUCUACCUUAUUACUUCGACAAAUAUUUAAGUAGCAAAGUACUGGCAUUGUUAAAUUUUAAAAAAUAUUUCAUUAAAACAGGUUUAACUAAAACUCACCUCCCUUUCAACAGAGAAAUAUUUUCCCAGUGAGAUCACAUGGUAUUUUUUAAAUUAGUUAUUCAGUAAUUACACAACUCAAUUAAUCAGCUAAUGUACUAGAAGAACUAGAGUGACAAGUGAGAUUUUAAAACCUACCACAAUAGGAAGCACUCCUUAUUCAAGGGAAAAAUGUGGGUUUGUUAGUUGAGUUUUUUCAUUUUAAAGAGUGCAUCCUUGAUUAACAGAAAAAGUUUUCCCUCUGUUGCCUUCAUACUUUACCAUCCCUUCCUUCACCCCAAAUACGUACAUCUCCACAGAGAUAAUACUCGGUCUGAUUUCCCAGCUCUCCACUUGCUUCCAGAGAGCACCGAGGGUGGCCACAGCCGUGUGUCAGCGCUGCAGGACCGUCACCCCGCAGCCGCUCCUCCCUCCCUGCCUGCCCCCGCAGCCACCCACGGGAGCAGCGCCCCUGCACGGACAGCCUCUACCCUAAGCCAUCGCCUCACCAGGAAUCCUGCAGGCUGUGUCUGCUUUCUGCGCUUCGUGAGCCUAGAAAAGCUUCUGUCUGUGAAGUUCCAGGCUAUUUGUCACCUGACUCUGCUUUUGAAUUCAAGCAAAGAAAAUUAUGCAAAAGUUCAAAGAAGGCUUUGAAGAUAACAUUUUUUCUAAGAUUUUUAACGUGAAAGACAAGCUGCUUUCAUAAUAACCUAACUUGGCUAUAUUUCUGUUUCAAGAUGAAUGAUAGAAUGGUUUGGGUUGAAUAAAACCAGUUUCAUCCUCCGAGUACA
Molecule: long non-coding RNA, 1094 nt
Filed under: Junco hyemalis (dark-eyed junco)
Lineage: Eukaryota; Metazoa; Chordata; Aves; Passeriformes; Passerellidae
Description: lncRNA (ENSJHYG00000000805.1)
Source: RNAcentral